Scophthalmus maximus (turbot) is the source of this 1430-nucleotide long non-coding RNA. RefSeq lists it as uncharacterized. The transcript is spliced from 2 exons. The record is from RefSeq and is a predicted model, not a curated record. NCBI's taxonomy places the organism in Eukaryota, Metazoa, Chordata, Actinopteri, Pleuronectiformes, Scophthalmidae.
UCCGGGAAACCGAACAGUAAAAAGUCCGCGCCUUUGGGUGUGUUCCUUCCGACCCGGAACUGUGUGUGUUGCACUGUUGAAAUAGUAAGACGGCUAAAAUAAUCUCAUUGUAUUUCAUCAGUCGGUUUGCUAUAUUGUAAAUUGAUACAUGUAUUGACUGCUUAUUACAACAACAACAAAACAAAACAAAAAUCGAAGUUCUGUCGCUCGGAACAAUGGAUUCUAACUUCCGGGGAACUAUCUGAAGCGUGCAUGAGUCACGUGACGUGCAAGCCGUUUGGACUUCCGUUGUCGCAACUCUCUGUCUCAACGGCUCCGAUGCGUCUGAACCACAGCAACUCUUGAUUUAACAUACGAAGACUUUACUUUUUUGAGGGAAGACAUCACAAAGUCAGUAGAUCAGCUGACAGAUCAGGUAAAGGGUGAGAGGGCCCUCAGAGAACCUCCACUCUUUUUUGAAAAGCAUUGUUCAGUCUCUCAACCAAUGUAUUCAGACAAUUUUUAAUUUAUGUUAUGACAUUCAUUUCUUAGAAAACACUAAUAACAAACAAAACAAACUUUUAAUUCCAGGCUUUCCAGGGUUAUGAUUAUACAUAUUAUGGCCAUUAAUAAAGGACAUAUAUUGCAGUGAGCAGAAAUAUUACAAUAGCAAUAAUUAGCAUAAAUGUACAGUGUUAAAAUCAGGGGAAGUCAUUAUUCCGUUUAUUUCACUUUUAAUUGGGAACAAUUGCUGGAAUAAAAGUUUUAUUCUUCAGUAUUAUUUCGAGAUGUGGUUCACAGCACAAAACGUAGAAGGAUCAAAGUGCAUAUGGGUGUACAGUUCUUUUGUACCCACUGUCUACGGAACAGGCCGCGUGAGGUUUCGCAUGCUCGAUUGGUCACAACAAGGACACAUCUGCGCCAUCAUACUAGAUAGCUUCAACACGAUACUGGUCACAGCAAGGACACAUCGGCGCCAGCAUGAUUAUGUUUGGUAUCAACAACACAUUGUCCACAUUACUUACAGUCAGGACACAUUCUGCCACUACAGUAACCAAUAUGUGGGUGAGCUAUUUGAAUUACGUUAUAUUCUGAAGAAACAAUCCUUGAUCACAAAAAUGGGAGGAAUUUUGGGGCGAGGCAUGAGAAAGAAAAUGUGAAUGAGAAGACCCCCCACGGAGGCUGACAAACAAAAUACCUUUCUAAAAUGCAUGUUACUGAACCAAGUGGGGCACUUGCUUGAAAUGAACCCUCCUCUUCCUCUUGGCAGAUUUUCGGAGUCUUGUUUUGGUACAUUUUAGAACUACGCACAGAAAUAUCAGCAAGGACGCAAAAGAGCCCCAGCGCAGCAGCGUAUACCAGAGUGGCAACCAAGUCUGUGUCCUGAAAAGGCAAAACAUUUGAUUAGUUGUUCACUUUGAGAAUAAAAACAAAUCUAUGGAUGACUCUAA